Eubalaena glacialis (North Atlantic right whale) is the source of this 1134-nucleotide RNA transcript. It is a transcript of the gene named glutaredoxin and cysteine rich domain containing 1, with no coding region annotated. The transcript is spliced from 5 exons. The record is from RefSeq and is a predicted model, not a curated record. Lineage: Eukaryota; Metazoa; Chordata; Mammalia; Artiodactyla; Balaenidae.
AGGGCCUGGGGCGUCAACGGCUGCGAGCUGCGGAAAGGCACUGCGUGUUGGCCGCCCGGGUGCAAUUCUAGCCUCCCUGCACCGCCAACAGCCCUCGCGACCUGAGUCGCACCUGCUCACUCGCCUGGUCCACGAGCAACAGGUUCUGAGGCCGGGGUCCUCUGGCGCUGGUGGCUUCUCCUGCCCACGGUGCUCGUGUGCGUCUGGGGCCGGCCUGCGAGUGGCCCGGUGCAUCCAGCUAGUGCGUGUUCUGCAGCCUGACAAAGCUCUGGACUUGCAGUAAAGUCAACUAUUGGGCCAGGUCCAGGAUCUCCUUGUAUAAAGCAGACUCCCUCUGGCUUGAUGAACAUGCGUCUGAAAAAAAUUAAAAGGGUAGUUGCUUCUUUCUUUUUCUUAUGAAGCAUGCAGAGAGAAGAAGCAUCUGUUCUGAGAACAAGGAGGAUGAAAACAUAAAUUAAAAGUUCAGUCCCAGUGAGCCGCCUUCUGUAUCUGAGUCAGAGAGAAGAGAGCCAGUUACACAAAAAAUCAUCUGUGGGGAAGCGUAAGGAGUCUGGAAUCAGCCACAUCUGCCUUUGAAUCCUCUCCGCCAUUUACUAGGUGCAUAAUCUUUGAGCGCAGCCCGUCACCACACUAUCAUCGAUUUGGGACAAAAGACGAGUGAACAACACUGAGACAGAAUGUUCUUUCUGAGAAAUAGUCGGAUCUCGAUGAAAUUCGGAGCAGACUCCUUAGCAAGAGGAUUGUUUGUUCGCUGCUUGGCUGCAGAUCUGUUUUUUAAGACUGAAGGGGAUUGAUCUGAUCAGAGGGCUUUGCUUUCAGAAGCUGUCACAGGGCCCAAGUGACAGAGCCGCUUGUCCCCCACGUGGCAGUUUCUGAGUACUGCAGCCACACCCCUGCAUACUGCACCCCAGCCAUUCAGAGCAUGACGGCUCCGAGUCCCAGGAGAAAGCAUUUCUCAUUCGGUAUUAAAACCUGAUGACACACAAAAGGAGAUGCACGAUGUUUAUAAAGCUGAAUGUUUGGAAAACUCAGCGCUGCCACAUCAGAUGUUUGGAGACACCCAAGGAGGCGAAGAGUGAAGCAUUGUGGCGAAUCCGAUGCCGACCUUCCUUUCAUUGGGAACCAGAGCUUCGC